This 258-nucleotide long non-coding RNA is filed under the name Elaeis guineensis (African oil palm). RNAcentral describes it as "long non-coding RNA (EGUI_LNC052771)". The record is from RNAcentral. Lineage: Eukaryota; Viridiplantae; Streptophyta; Magnoliopsida; Arecales; Arecaceae.
UAUGUCUGACCUCUAUAGAUAAUCCACUCGAAGCCCCAAAUAGAUCAUCCUUUUCGAAAGUGCUAGCUUGCGAUGAAGGCUGUGAAUGGCUGAUGGAGACUCUUUUCCUUAGAUCAAAUAGAUACUCCCAGAUUAGAAGAAAGAGCUUCUCAAGAAAGAGAUGGCAUGGAAGAAGAAAAAUAAAAUCUUUUUUAUUUUUCUCUCUCACAAAAUUAAAACUAGGAAAUCCUAGAACCCCCACCCUAGAUCUGACACCCC